RNAcentral lists this ribosomal RNA (1475 nucleotides) under Bacillus cereus VD184. RNAcentral's name for it is "bacterial LSU rRNA". It matches the Rfam family "Bacterial large subunit ribosomal RNA", at positions 1443 to 2925 of the family's 2925-position model. The record is from RNAcentral. Lineage: Bacteria; Bacillati; Bacillota; Bacilli; Caryophanales; Bacillaceae.
CACCUCUUUAUCGUUUGAGCAAUGGAGGGACGCAGAAGGAUAGAAGAAGCGUGCGAUUGGUUGUGCACGUCCAAGCAGUUAGGCUGAUAAGUAGGCAAAUCCGCUUAUCGUAAAGGCUGAGCUGUGAUGGGGAAGCUCCUUAUGGAGCGAAGUCUUUGAUUCCCCGCUGCCAAGAAAAGCUUCUAGCGAGAUAAAAGGUGCCUGUACCGCAAACCGACACAGGUAGGCGAGGAGAGAAUCCUAAGGUGUGCGAGAGAACUCUGGUUAAGGAACUCGGCAAAAUGACCCCGUAACUUCGGGAGAAGGGGUGCUUUCUUAACGGAAAGCCGCAGUGAAUAGGCCCAAGCGACUGUUUAGCAAAAACACAGCUCUCUGCGAAGCCGUAAGGCGAAGUAUAGGGGGUGACACCUGCCCGGUGCUGGAAGGUUAAGGAGAGGGGUUAGCGUAAGCGAAGCUCUGAACUGAAGCCCCAGUAAACGGCGGCCGUAACUAUAACGGUCCUAAGGUAGCGAAAUUCCUUGUCGGGUAAGUUCCGACCCGCACGAAAGGUGUAACGAUUUGGGCACUGUCUCAACCAGAGACUCGGUGAAAUUAUAGUACCUGUGAAGAUGCAGGUUACCCGCGACAGGACGGAAAGACCCCGUGGAGCUUUACUGUAGCCUGAUAUUGAAUUUUGGUACAGUUUGUACAGGAUAGGCGGGAGCCAUUGAAACCGGAGCGCUAGCUUCGGUGGAGGCGCUGGUGGGAUACCGCCCUGACUGUAUUGAAAUUCUAACCUACGGGUCUUAUCGACCCGGGAGACAGUGUCAGGUGGGCAGUUUGACUGGGGCGGUCGCCUCCUAAAGUGUAACGGAGGCGCCCAAAGGUUCCCUCAGAAUGGUUGGAAAUCAUUCGUAGAGUGCAAAGGCAUAAGGGAGCUUGACUGCGAGACCUACAAGUCGAGCAGGGACGAAAGUCGGGCUUAGUGAUCCGGUGGUUCCGCAUGGAAGGGCCAUCGCUCAACGGAUAAAAGCUACCCCGGGGAUAACAGGCUUAUCUCCCCCAAGAGUCCACAUCGACGGGGAGGUUUGGCACCUCGAUGUCGGCUCAUCGCAUCCUGGGGCUGUAGUCGGUCCCAAGGGUUGGGCUGUUCGCCCAUUAAAGCGGUACGCGAGCUGGGUUCAGAACGUCGUGAGACAGUUCGGUCCCUAUCCGUCGUGGGCGUAGGAAAUUUGAGAGGAGCUGUCCUUAGUACGAGAGGACCGGGAUGGACGCACCGCUGGUGUACCAGUUGUUCUGCCAAGGGCAUAGCUGGGUAGCUAUGUGCGGAAGGGAUAAGUGCUGAAAGCAUCUAAGCAUGAAGCCCCCCUCAAGAUGAGAUUUCCCAUAGCGUAAGCUAGUAAGAUCCCUGAAAGAUGAUCAGGUUGAUAGGUUCGAGGUGGAAGCAUGGUGACAUGUGGAGCUGACGAAUACUAAUAGAUCGAGGACUUAACCAU